GGCUGCCUACCUCCGGCGGUAGUAGACGAGUUAAUAA
Molecule: small RNA, 37 nt
Filed under: Anaerobutyricum hallii
Lineage: Bacteria; Bacillati; Bacillota; Clostridia; Lachnospirales; Lachnospiraceae
Description: CRISPR_Spacer
Source: RNAcentral